CAAAUGACUCUCGGCAACGGAUAUCUCGGCUCACGCAUCGAUGAAGAACGUAGCAAAAUGCGAUACUUGGUGUGAAUUGCAGAAUCCCGUGAACCAUCGAGUUUUUGAACGCAAGUUGCGCCCAAAGCCAUCCGGCCGAGGGCACGCCUGCCUGGGCGUCACGC
RNAcentral lists this ribosomal RNA (164 nucleotides) under Hymenonema graecum. RNAcentral describes it as "5.8S ribosomal RNA". It matches the Rfam family "5.8S ribosomal RNA". Rfam says of the family: 5.8S ribosomal RNA (5.8S rRNA) is a component of the large subunit of the eukaryotic ribosome. It is transcribed by RNA polymerase I as part of the 45S precursor that also contains 18S and 28S rRNA. The record is from RNAcentral. Lineage: Eukaryota; Viridiplantae; Streptophyta; Magnoliopsida; Asterales; Asteraceae.